UUGUGACCGUUAUAAUGGGCAUGAAACACAACAAUGCUCGUUUUAACGUUCACAGGG
This 57-nucleotide microRNA precursor is filed under the name Limulus polyphemus (Atlantic horseshoe crab). RNAcentral describes it as "Lpo-Mir-2001_pre stem-loop". Lineage: Eukaryota; Metazoa; Arthropoda; Merostomata; Xiphosura; Limulidae. The record is from RNAcentral.